This 253-nucleotide ribosomal RNA is filed under the name uncultured bacterium. RNAcentral describes it as "partial 16S ribosomal RNA". It matches the Rfam family "Bacterial small subunit ribosomal RNA", at positions 334 to 579 of the family's 1533-position model. The record is from RNAcentral.
GUUUCCUACGGGACGCAGCAGUAGGGAAUCUUCCACAAUGGGCGCAAGCCUGAUGGAGCAACCCCGCGUGAGUGAAGAAGGGUUUCGGCUCGUAAAGCUCUGUUGUUGGAGAAGAACGUGCGUGAGAGUAACUGUUCACGCAGUGACGGUAUCCAACCAGAAAGUCACGGCUAACUACGUGCCAGCAGCCGCGGUAAUACGUAGGUGGCAAGCGUUGUCCGGAUUUAUUGGGCGUAAAGCGAGUGCAGGCGGU